UCUGAUUGGUCAUUUGCAGGGGGCGGGGCUGUAGAGAGGCGUAGAAAGGUGAGAAGGUUGGGAAGAGUAGGAGGUAGUUGGGAGCUGUUGGAACUGGCAGGGGUUCCCGGUGGCCGGUGAACAGGAUUCUGGAAGCUGUGACGAAAUGUUUGAAAAGACUUGAGGAAUACCUGCUGCAUUCUCCUCGCUGUAUUCCAGCAUUAAGAAAGCCUGGGUAAGAGGCACUGCUAAGUAUUUGACCUGUCAGACUGUACCUGCCACCUGAGAAUUUCUGACUAAUGACUCUGUGGACAAGAAGACCUCGGUGUUGAGUGCACUUAGCCUGGAAUUCUCACAGAGGCACUGAAGGAGUGUUAUCUUCCCCAAUGUCAUCCGUCCUAGCUGAAGUCUGGAGCUGGAUUUCUGCCCCCAUCUACUAAAUCCUUAACAUCUCCCUUUUCCAACCUGGCCUCUUUUAAUACAAACUACUUUCUUAAAGCAAAAUGGGCCUUUUGUGUGUUCUUCCUAAGGUUAUCUACAAAAUUAAAAUAGUUGUUUAUUCCCUAGUUACUAAACUAAUGCAUAUUCCAUUGUUAAAUUUCAGAAAAUAGAAGAACAAAGAAAAGUAACCCUUACCGUGCAACCAAGUAUAACCACUACUUACUUUUUGGUACACAAUAUUUCUUCCCUUGGACAUACCGUGCACACAGAUUGUCUCUGCGCUUUCAGCCACAGCCACUGGCACCUUUAAUCCUUCCUGCUGUGGGCAAACCUAUUUCAUCCAAUGUAUGAAACCUUUUGCGAUUUUUUCCCUCUGUAUUCUUACAGCAUUCAUGUUGUAUGAUAAUUACCUAUUCGUAUGUCUUUUGGACCAAGUUCCUAGAAGCAAGCUAAAGUUCUAGAACUAUUAGAAUAAAGCAAGAGAUAGAAGAGACCAGAAUGUCAGAUGCACAAGUGGUUUCACAGACCAGUUUGUGAACUGGGGUUCAUCUAUGGUGAAGUUUCUGCAGAUCAGCGGAGGAAUGAGAAAAGGAUAUAUAUAGUGAGUUUUCAUUUAGUCAAAUUUAUUCAUAAGGAUUGUGCUUUAUUUUGAAAUUGUCUCUUCUAUUUCUUGCAUGUGAUGACAGUUAUAGAGCCGUAGUUGUUUUCUAAAUAUUCUUCCUUGGAAAAUAAAAUAUUGCUAACUUUAUUUCCUACCAUUUAGUUUAUUUUAUUUUUGAAAUUUUUCUUGGUUCAUGAAGUCCUAAAAUCUAGUAAUCACUGAGAUAGAGAAUGGCCACCAGUUUCAGCAGUCAUAAUGCUGGCGUGACCCUAAUCUGCUUUCUUUACUUGCUAUAGGUAUUUUCUGUAUUCUUUCUGGAUAUGACUUAGUCUAAGUCUGAGGAUGGAUCUGAGCUUGAUGGUGUUUAGAAAAUAGGAACUGGUUGUAACUGGCAGAUAGUACUAGGGCCAAAAGUAAGAUAUUAGUCAUUCUUUAUGAAGUUUAUGUAGAUAAAAUGAAAUUUCUGUUUGUCACUGUAUUAUAUGAAUAUAUGUAGAUGGAAUUUUGCCAUCCAUGUAGGCUGUUUGUGUUAGACUGACAACAGACUAGUUGUUGUCAGUGUGACAAAAUAAUAAGAGAAUUCACUUUGAGGGAUCCUGAGAGGUGGGCACUGUUAACCCUUUGGCAUGUAUUUCCAUCUCUCUCUGUAAAUAUGUCAUGGUGGUCUUAAAAUAUGCUACAACUUCUUUGAUGUCUUUCCCAUAAAAAGAUAUACCUUGUGAUGGACUUAAAUGAUUGAUUUAUACAAUAGACUAUAGUGAAAGUCAUCAUAAUCCCUAUAUGUGAUGUCAGAGGCUAGGUCACAAAAGGCCAUGCAACUCCAUCUUGUCUGUUGAAACGCUUACUUUUGGAACUCACAGCCAUCGUGUAAGAAGUCUGACUACCUGAGUCUGGCGUGGUGUGAAAAGUCCAGAACAUUAGGGAGACCUCUUGAAGUACUCUCAUUAACAAUCACAGCUGAUCCCACCCCAUCCAGUUAGCCCAGGUACCAGUUACGUGAGUGGGGUAGCAGAUUCCAGCUCUCAGCCGUUUGAGCCUCCUUCAGCCCGGUCUUGCCAGCUGAGGCCGUAGACUUGUGGACCAGAAGUGUGCCAUUCCUAUUCUAUCUUGUCCUAAUUCCUGACUUGGAGAAUCCAUGGCUUUAAAAGAAUUGGAAAACAAGACACCGACUGGGAGAAAUAUUUGCAAAAAAUACAUCUGAUAAAGGAUUAUUACCCAAAAUGUAUAAAGAGCUUCUAAAACUCAACAAGAAAAUAAAAACUCAUUUAAAAAAUGGGCCAGACACCUUAACAGACCUCACCAAAGAAGAUAAUACAGAUGUCAAAUAAGUAUAUGCAAAGAAGUUCUACAUUAUAUCAUCAUGAAAAUGCAAAGUAAAACAAAAUGACUUACCACUACACACGUAUUUAGAAUGGCCAGAAUCCAGAACACUGACAACACCAAAAGCUGGUAAAGAUGUGGAGUGAAAGGAUUCUCAUACAUUGUUAAUGGGAAUGCAGAAUGAUACAGCCACUUUGGAAGAUAGUUUGUAAGUUUCUUAUAAAAUGAAACAUACUCUUUCCAUGUGAUCCAGAUAUUGCACUUGUUAUUAUUUACCUAAGGGAGCCGAAACCUUAUGUCCACACAGAAACCUGCGCAUUGAACGUUAUAGCACGUUUACUCAUAAUUGCUAAACUUAAGGAGCGACCAACAUGUCCUUCGGUAGAUAAAUGGAUUAGUAAACAGUGGUACAUUCAGACAAUGGAAUAUUAUUUAGCACUAAAAAGAAUUGAGCCAUCAAGCUAUAAAAAGACUUAGAGGAAACUUAAAUGCAUACUACUGGGUGAAAGAAGCCAAACUGAAAAGGCUACACACUAUGAUUCUAACUAUGUGCCAUUCUGGAAAAGAUAAAACUAUAGAGACAGUAAAAAAUGUCAGUGACUGCCAGAUGGGGACAAGGAAGAGAUGACUAGGCAGAAUACAGAGGAUUUUUAGAGCAAUGAAAAUAUUCUGUAUAUUAUAAUGAUGAAUAUAGGUCACUGUGCUUUUGUCCAAAUUCAUAGAGUGUACAACACCAGUAAUGAACCCUAAGGUAAACAGUGGACUUUGGGUGAUUUUGAUGUGUCGAUACAGAUUCAUCCUUGGUAAAAAAAAGUGCCCUGCUGGUAAACAAUACUGAUAAUGGGAGAGGCUGUGCAUGUGGGGGGACAGUGGUUAUAUACGAAUUCUCUGUGCCUUUUGCUCAAUUUUGUUGUAAAUCUGAAACUGCUCUGAGAAAACAAUAAAAUCUUAAAAAGAAUCCUUAAGCAUUAUGAAAA
Mustela lutreola (European mink) is the source of this 3318-nucleotide long non-coding RNA. RefSeq lists it as uncharacterized. NCBI's taxonomy places the organism in Eukaryota, Metazoa, Chordata, Mammalia, Carnivora, Mustelidae. The record is from RefSeq and is a predicted model, not a curated record. The transcript is spliced from 2 exons.